Non-coding RNA from Cinara cedri, 224 nucleotides. The record is from the annotation of a GenBank genome assembly. NCBI's taxonomy places the organism in Eukaryota, Metazoa, Arthropoda, Insecta, Hemiptera, Aphididae.
GUUACAUCGCAAUAAUGUAAUUUCCUCCUUUUUUUUCCCCAAUAGAGUGGGGACAUCUCCAAUAAACUUGAUAAACCACCCGCUAGGUAUCGCUCGAACGUUUUAUUCCAUCUAAUUGAUGGUUAGCUUUAUUGUAUUGCGUGUGUUAUGUUUUUGUAAUACGUUUGAAUGAAUCAACUGCACAUUUCUGUUUACUUUAUAAAUCUGACAAUAUUUCAUAAGUG